Molecule: long non-coding RNA, 1673 nt
Organism: Acanthopagrus latus (yellowfin seabream)
Lineage: Eukaryota; Metazoa; Chordata; Actinopteri; Spariformes; Sparidae
Exons: 3
Source: RefSeq, a predicted model, not a curated record
UCAGGAUGUCAAUGUUGGUGAUUUAUCUGAUUGGGCAACUGACUCCUAGAAAUGUCUCCCUAUGCAGGUUUAUGUCUCCUUUUGCUUUUUCUCUUGGUGACUAUGUGUUUCAUUUAUGCUGCUCACUGUCUCGUGAGGGCCCGUUGAAAAUCUCAGUGGGAUUCUCCUGGAAAAAUAAAAAUGAAAAAUGUAAACAUCAUGUGGAAAAAAACAAAACAAAACAUACUAUACAAUCACAAAGUUCAGCUGAUACGUGCAGAUGAGGAAGGAAGCCAACAGGCCACGAGUCCCCUGUGAAAAUAUAAGAAAUUCAAUAGUGUAAUCACUAUACUGUACGCAUCAGUCAAGAGGGGGAAAACCAAACAAACAAAGAUGACAAGCAGCAGGCAAAAGAAACAUAAAAAAGGGAAAUGACAGGUCAUCUGUACUUGUUUCCUCUCACCUCUGUAAUAUGAUCUACAAGGUAAAAUCACAGCUGUCAAAGAAGUAUUCAGAUCAAUUUACUAAAGGAAAAGUGGAGACAAACAUGCAAGUAGUUAUUUAAUGUAAUUUAACUUUACUGUUGGGUGAUUUGAAGACAAUGCAUCAUAAAUGAUAAACAGGUCAUAAGUUUUGCAUUGAGAAUCCUAAUCUGAAAAGUGAUUACAGUUAAUAUUAAUGUGGUGGAGUAAAGAGUAAAUAUUUCUCUUUGAAAUAUAGUUUAGUCACAAAGUGUUGAAUUGAAUUGCUCGAGCAAAGCACAAGUACAUUGAACGUGUCUUUAAUUUUAGUUCUUGAGUAAAUGUACUUACUUUUCACCACUUUAAAGGCAAAAUUAAAGACAGCAAAUGCUUACUACUAUAACUACAUUACGUUAAAGGCUAAGAAAAGUUAAAUGUUCCUUUAUUAGUCAUUUUACAACACCGGGGCUGUGGAACUUAACUGAGUCACCUUAUGCUACAAGAUGUUUAUACAGUGGCAUGCUGGUGAUGAACGGAUGAGUCUCACAGCCUGGGGAAAGAAGCUGCUCUGUAGUCUGGUGGUAUGACAGCAGAUACUUCUGUAUCUUUUGCCAGAUGGCAGCAGGGUGACCAGACAGUGGCUGGGUGGGUGCUGUCUUUCAGGUUUGCUUUGGGCUCCGUGCAGACAUCUCACUUCUCCAAUAACUGAUGCUCUGUGGAUGUGCACCAACGGCGUUCUGGGCGGUUUUAAGCACCCGCUGCAGUGCGUUCCUGUCCUGGGCCACGCACGGACCAUACCAAUUUGUGACGUUUUUAGCUCUGGAAUGUAACCUCCCUAAGUUUCCUUAGGAGGUACAGCCCUUUCUCUGUGAUAUUGACUUCCCAGAAUUUAAAACUCAGAGGGAAUGAAGGCAAUAGGUUGCAGCUCUAAUGGUUGGAAGUCUGCCUGCUUACCUGUGAGGUACAGCAGGUAGAGCGUGGUGUUGUGCUGAGAUCAGCACCAUGGACAGGGCCAGCAGACAGUGCUUCACUCUCAGGCCUCCUCAAUGAUGUAAAUGGAUGUUCGCCGGUGUUGCGACCUCUGACCCUGACUGCCCCCCUGUUUCCUGAACCAGAUGCUGCUCCUGUGGACCGAGGCCUUCUCAACCUAAACAAAGUAAUCCUCCACUAAACAAGAUGGAUAUUGUAUCACCAGCCUAGUAAAUACCAGAGGGUCUUAAACACAGAGCUGCC